UACGGAGGAUGCGAGCGUUAUCCGGAUUUAUUGGGUUUAAAGGGUGCGUAGGCGGGCUUUUAAGUCAGCGGUAAAAAUUCGGGGCUCAACCCCGUCCGGCCGUUGAAACUGGGGGUCUUGAGUGGGCGAGAAGAAGGCGGAAUGCGUGGUGUAGCGGUGAAAUGCAUAGAUAUCACGCAGAACCCCGAUUGCGAAGGCAGCCUUCCGGCGCCCUACUGACGCUGAGGCACGGAGGCGUGGAUAUCGAACAGG
Molecule: ribosomal RNA, 252 nt
Filed under: uncultured bacterium
Lineage: Bacteria
Description: partial 16S ribosomal RNA
Rfam family: Bacterial small subunit ribosomal RNA
Source: RNAcentral